CCAGUACUCCCUUUGUCACUGGGAGAUCAAAAUGUAAAAGUUCUGUGGGGGCAGAUAGGCAAGAAAAUUCUUCUGCUCUCACCCCAGCUUCUCGCUUAUUCAAACUUGUUAUCUGGUUCGCACCAAAGUCAUUGCCCUGUCUAUGUGUGUAUGGGAUGCGUCAAGAAAACAGAGUUGGGACAGCAUGAAGAAGGGUCGGUGUACUCGAGAGAACUGCAAGUACCUUCACCCCCCUCCACACUUAAAAACGCAGCUGGAGAUUAAUGGGCGGAACAAUCUGAUUCAACAGAAGACUGCCGCAGCCAUGUUCGCCCAGCAGAUGCAGCUUAUGCUCCAAAACGCUCAAAUGUCAUCACUUGGUUCUUUUCCUAUGACUCCAUCACUUCCAGCUAAUCCUCCCAUGGCUUUCAGUCCUUACAUACCACAUCCUGGGAUGGGCCUCGUUCCUGCAGAACUUGUACCAAAUACACCUGUUCUGAUUCCUGGAAACCCACCUCUUGCAAUGCCAGGAGCUGUUGGCCCAAAACUGAUGCGUUCAGAUAAACUGGAGGUUUGCCGAGAAUUUCAGCGUGGAAAUUGUACCCGUGGGGAGAAUGAUUGCCGCUAUGCUCACCCUACUGAUGCUUCCAUGAUUGAAGCGAGUGAUAAUACUGUGACAAUCUGCAUGGAUUACAUCAAAGGUCGAUGCUCGCGGGAGAAAUGCAAGUACUUUCAUCCUCCUGCACACUUGCAAGCCAAACUCAAGGCAGCUCAUCACCAGAUGAACCAUUCAGCUGCCUC
This 780-nucleotide small RNA is filed under the name Pongo abelii (Sumatran orangutan). Its description in RNAcentral is "processed transcript". The record is from RNAcentral. Lineage: Eukaryota; Metazoa; Chordata; Mammalia; Primates; Hominidae.